UGGAACUGAGACACGGUCCAAACUCCUACGGGAGGCAGCAGUGGGGAAUAUUGCACAAUGGGCGAAAGCCUGAUGCAGCAACGCCGCGUGAGUGAUGAAGGCCUUCGGGUCGUAAAGCUCUGUCCUCCAGGAAGAUAAUGACGGUACUUGAGGAGGAAACCCCGGCUAACUACGUGCCAGCAGCCGCGGUAAUACGUAGGGGGCUAGCGUUAUCCGGAUUUACUGGGCGUAAAGGGUGCGUCGGCGGUCUUUCAAGUCAGGAGUGAAAGGCUACGGCUCAACCGUAGUAAGCUCUUGAAACUGGGAGACUUGAGUGCAGGAGAGGAGAGUGGAAUUCCUAGUGUAGCGGUGAAAUGCGUAGAUAUUAGGAGGAACACCAGUU
This 382-nucleotide ribosomal RNA is filed under the name Clostridioides difficile. Its description in RNAcentral is "bacterial SSU rRNA". It matches the Rfam family "Bacterial small subunit ribosomal RNA", at positions 314 to 714 of the family's 1533-position model. The record is from RNAcentral. Lineage: Bacteria; Bacillati; Bacillota; Clostridia; Peptostreptococcales; Peptostreptococcaceae.